RNAcentral lists this ribosomal RNA (274 nucleotides) under uncultured bacterium. Its description in RNAcentral is "partial 16S ribosomal RNA". It matches the Rfam family "Bacterial small subunit ribosomal RNA", at positions 523 to 796 of the family's 1533-position model. The record is from RNAcentral.
AGACAGAGGGUGCGAACGUUGCUCGGAAUCACUGGGCGUAAAGCGCGUGUAGGCUGAUAUGCAAGUCAGGUGUGAAAUCCCUGGGCUCAACCCAGGAACUGCAUCUGAAACUGCAUGUCUGGAGUGUCGGAGAGGGAAGCGGAAUUCCUGGUGUAGAGGUGAAAUUCGUAGAUAUCAGGAGGAACACCGGUGGCGAAGGCGGCUUCCUGGACGACUACUGACGCUGAGACGCGAAAGCGUGGGGAGCAAACAGGAUUAGAUACCCCGGUAGUCC